GCCUUUAGGAUUUAAUUAUAGGUCGAACCUGCCCAAUGAAAUGUUUGAAUGGCUGCAGUAAUUUAACUGUACUAAGGUAGCAUAAUCAAUUGUCUUUUAAAUGGAGACUGGAAUGAAUGGGUUGACGGAGGAAUAACUGUCUUAAGUAUUUUUUUUGAAUUUGACUUUUAGGUAAAAAGGCCUAAAUGUAAUUGAGGGACGAAAAGACCCUAUCAAGUUUUAUAAAUGUGUUUUUAUUAUUCUUAUUUUUUAAAUAUUAUUUAUUUAACUGGGGCGGUUGAAAUAGUAUAUCUUUUUUUGGUUUUGGGAGAAUAAUUGUUUAAUUUAUUGUUGAUCCAGAAUUUUUGAUUAUAUGAUUAAAUUACUGUAGGGGUAACAGCGUAAUUCUUUUGUAAAGUUCAUAUUGAUAAAAGAGAUUGCGACCUCGAUGUUGGAUUAAAAUUUCUGUGGGGUGAAUAUGUUCCAUUAGAAAGUCUGUUCGACUUUUAAAUUUUUAUA
RNAcentral lists this ribosomal RNA (498 nucleotides) under Eurycyde curvata. Its description in RNAcentral is "partial 16S ribosomal RNA". It matches the Rfam family "Bacterial large subunit ribosomal RNA", at positions 1830 to 2600 of the family's 2925-position model. Lineage: Eukaryota; Metazoa; Arthropoda; Pycnogonida; Pantopoda; Ammotheidae. The record is from RNAcentral.